Molecule: small nuclear RNA, 187 nt
Filed under: Octodon degus (degu)
Lineage: Eukaryota; Metazoa; Chordata; Mammalia; Rodentia; Octodontidae
Description: U1 spliceosomal RNA (ENSODEG00000022437.1)
Rfam family: U1 spliceosomal RNA
About the family: U1 is a small nuclear RNA (snRNA) component of the spliceosome (involved in pre-mRNA splicing). Its 5' end forms complementary base pairs with the 5' splice junction, thus defining the 5' donor site of an intron. There are significant differences in sequence and secondary structure between metazoan and yeast U1 snRNAs, the latter being much longer (568 nucleotides as compared to 164 nucleotides in human).
Source: RNAcentral
AUACUUACCUGGCAGGGGAGAUGCCGCUAUGGCGAAAGUGGUUUUCCCAGGGUGAGGCUUAUCCAAUACUCCAUAUAAGUAUUGUGCUCCAAAUGUGCUGACCCCUGCCCAAAUGCUGACUUCCCCAAAUAUAGGAAGCUUGACUGUAUAAUUUGUGGUAGUGGGGGACUGUGUUUGCACUUUCACC